RNAcentral lists this ribosomal RNA (253 nucleotides) under uncultured bacterium. Its description in RNAcentral is "partial 16S ribosomal RNA". It matches the Rfam family "Bacterial small subunit ribosomal RNA", at positions 524 to 776 of the family's 1533-position model. The record is from RNAcentral.
UACGUAGGCAGCAAGCGUUGUUCGGAGUUACUGGGCGUAAAGGGUGUGUAGGUGGCGCCGUAAGUCGGGUGUGAAAUUUCGGAGCUUAACUCCGAAACUGCAUUCGAUACUGCGGUGCUUGAGGACUGGAGAGGAGACUGGAAUUUACGGUGUAGCAGUGAAAUGCGUAGAUAUCGUAAGGAAGACCAGUGGCGAAGGCGGGUCUCUGGACAGUUCCUGACGCUGAGGCACGAAGGUCAGGGGAGCAAACGGG